RNAcentral lists this ribosomal RNA (508 nucleotides) under uncultured Hippea sp. RNAcentral's name for it is "bacterial SSU rRNA". It matches the Rfam family "Bacterial small subunit ribosomal RNA", at positions 8 to 493 of the family's 1533-position model. The record is from RNAcentral. Lineage: Bacteria; Pseudomonadati; Campylobacterota; Desulfurellia; Desulfurellales; Hippeaceae.
AGAGUUUGAUCAUGGCUCAGAGCGAACGCUGGCGGCGUGCCUAACACAUGCAAGUCGCGUGAGAAAGGGGAGCUUGCUCCCUGAGUAAAGCGGCAUACGGGUGAGUAACACGUGGGCAACCUGCCCUCGAGUGGGGAAUAACCCAGGGAAACUUGGGCUAAUACCGCAUAACAUCUCGGGCUCCACGGAGCUCGAGAUCAAAGCUUGCCUCUGCAUGCAAGCUGGCGCUUGAGGAGGGGCCCGCGCCCGAUUAGCUAGUUGGUAGGGUAACGGCCUACCAAGGCAACGAUCGGUAGCCGACCUGAGAGGGUGACCGGCCACACUGGAACUGAGACACGGUCCAGACUCCUACGGGAGGCAGCAGUGAGGAAUAUUGGGCAAUGGGCGAAAGCCUGACCCAGCGACGCCGCGUGGAUGAUGAAGGCCUUCGGGUCGUAAAAUCCUGUCGAGGGGGAAGAAAUGACGCUCCGUUAAUAGCGGGGCGUCUUGACGGUACCCCUGAGAGCCC